RNAcentral lists this long non-coding RNA (350 nucleotides) under Citrus x clementina. RNAcentral describes it as "Citrus clementina (C. clementina) long non-coding RNA (CCLE_LNC003375)". Lineage: Eukaryota; Viridiplantae; Streptophyta; Magnoliopsida; Sapindales; Rutaceae. The record is from RNAcentral.
UUUAAUUUUCAUUAUUGUUUAAUUUCACAGUAUGUAAAUGGCCGCUCAAUGUUGACCAAAAAUGUACCAAACAUAUUGGCACGUGCGCCCACCAACUGUUCUGGUGGAUUUCGUUCUUCAAAUACUAUUGACAAUGAAAUAUAUAUGUGAUUGAUUUCUUUAAAGAAUAAUAAUAAUGAAUAAAUUAUCAGGCUCUCAAAAAUAAUAAAAUAGAUCAACUCAACCUUUGGAAUUCCAAGAACAGUUGUACAUGGAGACAUUUAAAAAUUUUAAAAUUAACUUCUAAAGAAAUUGUUUUUAAAUAAGGUGGUGAUAUUUUCACACAUAAAUUCGGUAAAUCCAACCUACUU